GGCUGGUCCAAAGGUAGUGAGUUAUCUCAAUUGAUUGUUCAUAGUACAGAUUGAACUCCUCGCUCUACCCUUUCCCCCCUUCUCACUACUGCACUUGACUAGUCUUAA
Cavia aperea (Brazilian guinea pig) is the source of this 108-nucleotide unclassified non-coding RNA. It matches the Rfam family "Y RNA". Rfam says of the family: Y RNAs are components of the Ro ribonucleoprotein particle (Ro RNP), in association with Ro60 and La proteins. The record is from Ensembl. NCBI's taxonomy places the organism in Eukaryota, Metazoa, Chordata, Mammalia, Rodentia, Caviidae.